AGCGAACGCUGGCGGCAGGCCUAACACAUGCAAGUCGAACGAACUCUUCGGAGUUAGUGGCGGACGGGUGAGUAACACGUGGGAACGUGCCUUUUGGUUCGGAAUAACUCAGGGAAACUUGUGCUAAUACCGAAUGUGCCCUUCGGGGGAAAGAUUUAUCGCCAUUAGAGCGGCCCGCGUCUGAUUAGCUAGUUGGUGAGGUAACGGCUCACCAAGGCGACGAUCAGUAGCUGGUCUGAGAGGAUGACCAGCCACACUGGGACUGAGACACGGCCCAGACUCCUACGGGAGGCAGCAGUGGGGAAUCUUGCGCAAUGGGCGAAAGCCUGACGCAGCCAUGCCGGGUGAAUGAUGAAGGUCUUAGGAUUGUAAAAUUCUUUCACCGGGGACGAUAAUGACGGUACCCGGAGAAGAAGCCCCGGCUAACUUCGUG
This 433-nucleotide ribosomal RNA is filed under the name uncultured bacterium. RNAcentral describes it as "partial 16S ribosomal RNA". It matches the Rfam family "Bacterial small subunit ribosomal RNA", at positions 29 to 507 of the family's 1533-position model. The record is from RNAcentral.